UUUCGCAAUGCCCGAAAGGGUGACGAAGCGACGCCGCGUGAGUGAGGAAGGCCUUCGGGUUGUAAAGCUCUGUCAGGAGUUAAGAAAUAUAAGUGUGCUAAUACCACAUUUAUUUGACGAAGGCUCCAAAGGAAGCCACGGCUAACUCUGUGCCAGCAGCCGCGGUAAUACAGAGGUGGCAAGCGUUGUUCGGAAUUAUUGGGCGUAAAGAGCACGUAGGUGGGUUUGUAAGUCAGAUGUGAAAGCCUUCUGUUCAACGGAAGAAUUGCAUCUGAAACUGCGAGUCUUGAGUGUAGGAGGGGAGAAUGGAACUUCUGGUGGAGCGGUGAAAUGCGUAGAUAUCAGAAGGAACGCCGGCGGCGAAAGCGAUGCUCUGGCCUAUUACUGACACUCAGUGUGCGAAAGCUAGGGGAGCAAACGGGAUUAGAUACCCCGGUAGUCCUAGCCGUAAACGAUGGGCACUAAGUAGAGGGGUUUUA
This 479-nucleotide ribosomal RNA is filed under the name uncultured anaerobic ammonium-oxidizing bacterium. RNAcentral describes it as "bacterial SSU rRNA". It matches the Rfam family "Bacterial small subunit ribosomal RNA", at positions 364 to 833 of the family's 1533-position model. The record is from RNAcentral.